This 305-nucleotide unclassified non-coding RNA is filed under the name uncultured fungus. RNAcentral describes it as "sequence contains ITS1". The record is from RNAcentral. Lineage: Eukaryota; Fungi.
CACCCGGACCUGGCACAUUCGGUCGACCGCGCCCGGUUCCUACGUGCGGUCAAGGAUGUCGAACGCCGGCUCAUCCGGCCGAUGAGCCAGGCGGAGGCCUGGUCCACGAUGGCGCAGCUCAAUCCGGUGCUUGCCGACGGGCACCUCUUGAUCGGUUUCCCGGAUUGGCGCGGCGAGACCGCCGAGGCCGUGAAGCGAGGCGCCGCCUUCUUCCCCUUCGAGGUCGCGCUGGACGAUUCCGGCAAUCUCUGGAUCAUCUCCGAACUUGGCGGAGCAGCGACGCCGUUCGCCGGAAUGCGGAUCAA